RNAcentral lists this ribosomal RNA (498 nucleotides) under uncultured bacterium. RNAcentral's name for it is "partial 16S ribosomal RNA". It matches the Rfam family "Bacterial small subunit ribosomal RNA", at positions 30 to 523 of the family's 1533-position model. The record is from RNAcentral.
AUUGAACGCUGGCGGCAUGCCUUACACAUGCAAGUCGAACGGUAACAGGUCUUCGGAUGCUGACGAGUGGCGAACGGGUGAGUAAUACAUCGGAACGUGCCCGAUCGCGGGGGAUAACGAGGCGAAAGCUUUGCUAAUACCGCAUACGACCUACGGAUGAAAGCGGGGGAUCUUCGGACCUAGUCCGGACGGAGCGGCCGAUGGCAGAUUAGGUAGUUGGUGGGAUAAACGCUUACCAAGCCGACGAUCUGUAGCUGGUCUGAGAGGAUGAUCAGCCACACUGGGACUGAGACACGGCCCAGACUCCUACGGGAGGCAGCAGUGGGGAAUUUUGGACAAUGGGCGAAAGCCUGAUCCAGCCAUGCCGCGUGCAGGAUGAAGGCCUUCGGGUUGUAAACUGCUUUUGUACGGAACGAAAAGCCUCUUUCUAAUAAAGAGGGGUCAUGACGGUACCGUAAGAAUAAGCACCGGCUAACUACGUGCCAGCAGCCGCAGUAA